AUGCAGGGAAGAGCCGUUGCUCUGCAGCGUUUAGAUGCGCUGAAGCGGGCACGACCGCGGGCCUGGCCAGCGCCURGCGGAGGUCACGGGGACGGGGCGGMCGCGGCGGGAGCAGCGUCGGUCUCCCCCGCGGCAGGCGCAGACGCGGCGCUAGGGCAGGCGGCGGCUGACGAGCCCCGGCAGGGAUCACCCACGCGGGCAAGCCGGCGGAACGCAGGAGAGGGCUUUCGUUCGGUUUUAUCAGCGUUUCCCGUUCAGCCUGAGUCUCGGCGGGUUGCAAACGAACGCUGCUGGGCGACGCUAGGAAAAAGGCUCGGGGGCUUCUUGCUGCGGUGGCGCGGCCUGUUAUCUGUGAAAGCUUUGGGAAUAGCUACUCCAAAGGCACCAAGCGAGAACUGGCGGCACGCUACAUCAGCCCUUUCAGCUCUGUUUUUGCAAAGRGCGAUUUCCUUAGCCGUGUGCCGCUCAGGUUUUGCUUUGCCGACUUGUGCGCUUUGCGCCCUGCGCGUCCUGCUUUGGCGUGCGCUGCGCUCGCGCGAGGAGCCGUGGGGACACCAAGACGCGGCAGCGUCAAAGCGUUUGUGCCGUGGGCGCAGCGCGCUGGCAAAGCUGCRUUUCUUCGCUCGUCUCUCCUCCUCCCCGGCCAAGAUGCGAGCCCGACCGAAGCGCAUCUCGUCCCCGCGCAGCUACGCCGCUGGGCGCCCCGCUCUGCCGUGCAAACGCGGCCGGGACGUGCCGGGACGGGGACGCCCAUCGCGGCCUCCUUGGGUGGCUUUGCAAAGGGAGCGGUGGGGACAUCGGCCCCACGGACGGCGCGGCGAAGGUGCAAGGCGGCGGCUGCUGCUCUCCCCGGCCGGCGUCGGUGCACCGCCGAGCAGCAGGGAACCCGCAGGCACAUUCACAGCUCGCCCCAAGUUUCCUCCCGUGGCCCUGGUUCAAAGGGCUCCUCCCGCUCCCGAAAGAGUUUCGCGGCCAGUGCCGCCGCUUUCCACACCAAAGCGCGGCAGCCCCUCGCCUUGUUUGAGGACCGUCAGGCCAGGGACAAAUUAA
Molecule: long non-coding RNA, 1050 nt
Filed under: Apteryx haastii (Great spotted kiwi)
Lineage: Eukaryota; Metazoa; Chordata; Aves; Apterygiformes; Apterygidae
Description: lncRNA (ENSAHAG00000006320.1)
Source: RNAcentral